This 71-nucleotide transfer RNA is filed under the name Ochthebius sp. IBE<ESP> AN164. RNAcentral's name for it is "tRNA-Lys". It matches the Rfam family "tRNA". Rfam says of the family: Transfer RNA (tRNA) molecules are approximately 80 nucleotides in length. Their secondary structure includes four short double-helical elements and three loops (D, anti-codon, and T loops). Lineage: Eukaryota; Metazoa; Arthropoda; Insecta; Coleoptera; Hydraenidae. The record is from RNAcentral.
CAUUAGAUGACUGAAAGUAAGUACUGGUCUCUUAAACCAUUUAACAAUAGUUUAACGCCUAUUUCUAAUGA